GUCGCUCCCAAACUGUGGAACGAGCCCCUCCAUCUGAGGAUUUGGAUAGGAAUGGAAAACUAGUGGAUGAAAACAGAGCCAACAGGACUUCACACUAUUACGGCAUGCUUUAUAAAUCAACAUUAAGUUUCUUGAAUGAAUUGCCCCAUUAUUUUUAAUACAAAAUUGAAUAUUUCAGAUUUCACAUUGCUGUGUUUUUGAUUAAAACCUUUCUAGACCUUCCUAUCUGCUGGUGAAGUACUGAAAAUUAGACCAGCACAAAUGUGUCAAAGGAGUGAAAUAGUAUUAAAAUAUGCUAUCUUUCAAAGUCCCAUUUGUGUGCAGGCUUCCUCCCUGUGUGUGUGUGUGUGUGUGUGUGUGUGUGUGUGUGUGCGCCUGCAUGUCAGCGCCACUUUAAAGAGCAGUGCCUAUCUGUCGGCCAAUCUGCUGUGACGAGACACACACUUCAGGCCGCUCCACUUCAUCGUUUUGAUUCUGUCAUACCACACACUGCCUGGAGAGGCCCUUUGAAUUUUUAUCUCCUAAUUAAAAUAACAAAACUCCUCUCCACUGUCUGCCCAAGUUACCAUCAAGGUAGAUAGAAACUGCCACUGACAAUGGCGGGGAAUAUAUCGCAGCCAUAGCCACAAAAGUUUCUCUCCUCUGAACGGAUCUUUUAGUUCAGAUGUGCUCAGCUUACAAAGAGAAUUAUGAACUAGGCCCUGACGCUCAGAUACAAAUCAGUGUUGUUAUUUUUUUUUGGAUCAAUCCAAAUCAAAGAUACUGUAUGUAUGCUCUCCUCAGCUGAAAAUGAAAAGUAGAUUAUGUGGAGUCUGAUGGAAAUGUUUUACUGCAUUUUGACAGCGGAAUAUGCACUCAGAUUGCAUCCCUUCAGCCAAGAAUGCUACAGAUCCAUCUGUUGUGUGUGAGAAUGCUGGAAGUGAGUUUUAGGACUGCAUGUCCCAGUUUUACAGAGCUACACAAAAACACUGAGGCAGCACUCGUUACAGUCACUCAACCAAGACAAGUUAGUGGGCUAUACAUGUGCUCGGGCUGCAGGAUUAUGGUUUAGACUACACCAACGUUGUCAUCAGAAUUAAUAACCAUAGCAACCUUUUCUCUCAGAUUUGUGACAGUUUGUUACUGCAAUUGUGUGCAUUAUGUAUCCAUGUUUUUACUGUUUUCUGAAAUGCAUCACAAUCAUUUAGGAAUCUAAAACUUAAAUAUACAAAAGGUGUGAUGAACUGACAUCUGACAUCACCUGCAGUGAAUGUAUGUACUGUAUGGCCAAUGCAUGCAAACGAACGUCAUUUACAUGCACGUAUGGAGAUGCAAGGCAUAGAAAACAGGCAGCACAGAGGCAUCAGAUGAGCAACAGACAAAAACAAUAUUCCAUGAAGGAGCUCUCUUUAAUGUUUGGUCUCGUCUGCUUCCCUCCGACAGCCUUUUCGUGACAGGUGAUUUGAAUCACAGAAACACAGGUGAGCUGCCUAUAACAAUGGCACGAACCGUAUGAAAGAGGGAUCGAGGAGGGAAAGGGGGGGGUCAAGAGUUACAGCGAAAAGAGCAAAACCGUAAGUGGUGGAACUGGGGGAAAGGCUGGUAAAAGUGCAGCUUGUGAUUUGCACUUGUUUGCCUGCUAACUGUCUGCAGUGAGCUUCCUUUGUGCAGUAGCCAAUGCAGUUGGAAUGAAGGCUAUUGUCUAAAUCCUCCUGCAGAGCACCUGAUAAAAGAAUAAAGAACUAUGACAUAUUCUAAAAACAAUGGAGGAAUUAAGGGGAGACAAUAGGCCAGCUGCCUCAUUAAAACAAUCAAAAACGGCAUCCUGUACGUAGUCCAGAUAAUUAAAAAAACCACUGCUUCCUACAGUCUCUCAAUACCAUAUCCACCAGCUCAGUGAGGCCCGAGACUAUGGCCCUGCUGGCUAAAUGCCCUCUUCCCUCUCUUCCCUUUGAUUAAUGCUUUAUUUGAACAUGCAGUUGAAGAUGAACAUAUGAAGGAAUUCAUGAAGCAAAAUUAUAAUGCAAACCCUUUUUCCUUCUAUAAGUACCUAUAAACUAAUCAAAUGUCUCGGGAUGAAUCACAGGGACUCAGGGGGCCGUGUGUGCCCCCUCCCCUUUGCCUAAAGCCCCGAGAGAUUUCAAAGUGCAGGCAUCACAGGGCAUUUUUUUUUAAUUUUCCUACUUUAAAUGACUUUAUAAGAAAACGGAUGUGUACAGUAUCUGUAUAUGUAUGGGGGAGGCGGGGGAGAAUAGAGCAUGAGAUACUUGAGCAGGAAUAAAAAAAAAAAAAAUCUUUUUUUCUUUCUGGCUCCCUGCAAACCGCUACCACCACCAUAUCUUAAUGAAGCCGCAAACAAAUCUCUCAUGCCUCGUGCAAACGCUGAGAGACAACAAAGCAGCAGAAAAUAACAGAAGGGCCCGGAUAAUUAAACUGGCCUGAAGACAGGUAUUCAAACGUUGGUGUGUAAACAGCACAACUCUUUAAUAGUUUAGCUGUAAAAUGCGUAGUUAAGCACAUCAGCUCUCGCCUCUCCCAUCUGUCCAAACACAUUACCGUUGCAGAGGCCAUUACAAGCACAGGAGUACAGUCCCGCUGCACCACAGCCACAUAUUAUGGGAGGGGUUGAAUGGGGCUUCUGGGAAAACUUAACAGUGGCCCAUUGGCAUCACCUGAAUGCAUCGAGGGGUCAUGUAUUAUAAAGCAUCGAGGCGCACUUUGAGAAAUGGGAACGGUUGAGAAAAAGGCUGAUUUAUACAUUUUAAAGAGCACAAGUUUUAAAUGUAUAUUGCCAGAUUUAGUGUGUCAUUUUCUUUUGUCAAGCCUGGUGCUGAUUUGUUCUCCCCCCCCCCCCCUCGGUUUUGGUAAUUCUGCACCUUUAAGAUCUCGUCUCUGUCUAUUGGCCCGGCUCUAACUGCUGGUCUUAAUUGUGAAGUGAAGCCAGCGGUGCCUGAAGCCACAGCCAGGGUUGUAAUUAAAGACCUCUACUCUUCUUGUCUUCAAAUCAGCUCCAACUCCUCCUGGUCAAAUGGGAACAAGCUCCUCGCACCUACGAAUAUCAAGUAGCUGCGUUCUGUUAACCGCCACGUUUUCUUCUUUUUCCUCAACAAAUCUUUAUCAUAGGAGUACAUUACAACUUCCCAGUUAACUUCCCUGGAUCUUUCCAAAUUGUGGAUGAAUAAUAUAAUGUAACUGCACCUGAAAUUAUGUAACUGCGACUAAACAAAUCUUUUCUCAUGAAAUCCGGUAAAUAUUUGGACUGUUUCCGGAUCAUCCCAGUUGAACACAUUAGGGAUGACUCAUGGCUGUCAACGUUGCCAUCACAAUCCAGAGCGAGCAAGCAAGUAAGCAGCAGAGAGGAAAAACGCUGAGUGAGACCCAAAACGGGAACAUCAUGUACAGGGUCAAACAAGCUUACUAUUAUUGACGGUACACUAAACUAGAAUUAGCUGACUCUACUAUUAUUUCACUAAGGCACUGACACAGAUUGACUCUCCCCCCCGCUCUGUCUCUCCUUCACUCUCUCACCAUCCUCCCUCUUCUCAUGUGUACUCUCGGCCACUAGGAGGCACUCUUCUCAUGCUCAAGCUGCAGCCGCUGGAGGUUUUGGCUGUGAUGAUGCAGAGACGCCUCAGACAUGGCAGAGCAGCGUAGACGCCAAUCUGCCUGCACACCCUCGCAGAGUCCUGACUUGCCUUGUCUCGCCUGAUACCCCCCCAGACCUCCAGAUUUCCCUCCUUUUUUUUGCACUACACCGUCCAGACAAAUUUUAGCAUCAAGUGUUUUUUUUGCAGAUAUAUAGCCAGUACCGCGAGCUCAUGGAUGGCCUCGAGCGAAUGGCACGCGGGUCAGAAUCCACAAAUUAAAAAGUCCUCCCAGGGGAGCCUGGAACACGCUGCUCUCUCCAUAGUAUACAUUCACAGGCAACAAAGACAUAAAAGCAGCACAGCACCGAACAAUGUCAUUCAACACGCAUGUAUGAACUGUUUGAAGACACGAAAACACUUGAAAAAAAAAAAAAAAAAUACACAGCAAUGAUGUGAUUCAGCAAAUGUUUUACCGGGUCAAAAUUAAAUCUUUCACUUUGAAAUUAAAAGACGUUUCUCUGGCUAGUCUCUGGAGACUCGUGUAGCUUUUUCAAUACAGUGAGAAGGAUACUGGCAGCAGGAUGUUUGCCUGGUAAUAGCGUUGUAAUCAUUUUGAGAGAGAGAGAGAGAGAGAAAAUUAGAGAUGUGAAUUAGCAGCUAUUUUUGCUCUAUUAGAGUGCAAUGACAGAGCUUGAAUAGCAAAUUUCUUAAACAAAUUUAUAAAUUCCCAUACUGAAAUUCAUUAAAAGGAUUAUUUAACAAUCAAAGCAUCGCCAGUUUUACUAUGAUUUUUAAACAAACUAUUUUAAGAUGCACAAAAGAAAAUGAAUUGUUAUUGACAUUUUCAGUUUUUACCCCCAAACAAAUAAAAAUGCUCUCCCAUGAAUUGUAAAUGAGAACAUUUUACACUUUUCUGUAUUGCAGGUAACACUUGAGUUCCGUGCUGUCAGUCUGAGACAAUAACAGCCACACAUUCCUCUAGUACAAAGCUGUUGUCCCUCAUUAGCUGCCACACACAGCCAGCUCCUCCCUGUCCACAGUAAAGUGGAGUAGACUAUUAAAGGGAAAGCUCUCCUCUGCGCACUGCUUUAUUCUUUAUUUGGACAGGUUUGUCCCGUUGAGCACUCUAUUAGCUCUCCUUCUCUGUAGGUAGUGCUGCCUGUGUCCUGGUUGUGGCCAGUCGACAUGUGUUUACUGCGGCCCCUGCUGCGGAUGGCAGGCUGGUUGGGGGCCCCGUCCGGACCAAGCCCUGCUAAUGGGAGCAGGAGACCCCUCGUGACAGGGCGCUGCUGUGUUGAGCACCGCAGCAGACCCGACCCCUCCCUCCCCUCCAGCUGCGGCCUCAUGGCCCAUGUCCCCCUACCCAUCAUGCCUCGGUGGGAGCAGGUGAACGGCGGAGGGCCAACGCCGGUGAGCUUGGUUUUUUCCUGGGAGAGCAGCGCGCCAUCGCCACGCGCCUCAGUGGUUUCUCCAACAUGGCUCCGGCCCUACGCCACAUGGGCUGGCUUGCCAUUCUGUGUGUCUGUGUGUUUAUAAGUGUGUGUGUGUGUGGGUGUGUGUGUAUGUGUGUGUGUGCGUACGUGCGUGCGUGCGUGCGUGUGUGUGUGUGUAUGUGGGGGUGUAUGGUGGAUGCCAGCCCUAAUGCAAAUGCUUGCCGUUUAAAAAAUGGGAGCCUCUCUCCUCCUCUGUCUCUCCUCUUUGGAAAGGUCUAUUUUGGCCUUCUGGUGCUGGCAGUUAUUUCUUUCCUCUCCAGAAGGACAGAGAGCCAGUGAGAUGCACCUGCCAUCCAUUUUGAAAUUCAACAUUAUUGAUCUGGUCAUGAGGAAUGGAAUUUAUGAAGUUAUGUGUUUUUCUUCAUAGAUCUUCUUAUUGAUUUGUGCCUUAAAACAUUCCCAUUUCUCUGUUGCGGAGUGCUUUUGUGCCUUAUUUACAGGCGUGCUAAUUUGGUGUUAACAGCACAGCAAUACACAGAGAGAAUAUACACACACACACACACACACACACACACACACAGACACACUCAAACUCUCUCUGACACACAUACACACACCAGUCACCGGUGCAACAUCCCAGCAUGCCCUCUGUCUCUGCACCCCUGUAAUUUUACAUAUUGCUUAAAGUAUGUGCUAAUUAAAUUUUCUGUCGGUUUGCAAGAGAAAUAAAUAAUCAGCGGCUAAAAGGCCUAAUUGCGUUUGUCACAUUGUGUCUCGGUGGCUGGUGCAUCGGGAGCACAGCCGCUGCCCUUGCUCAUUGCCAUUCUGUCGUCCUGGCAAGCCCCGGCGCUGCCCCAGGUAUCACCACGCGGCCAUCUGGAGCCGACAUCUGUCUCUCUAUUGAUCACAAGGGUUUAGCACUUGAUCAAACAGACUGCGACAGGAAAUUGCUCUUUUCCCCACAGAAAAGGCCAAUCGCCUGCGUGAGGGUAAUAGAGUGGAACUGAGUAGCAGCACUAGCGCGGUGGGCAGGCGGGCACAGCCAGGCAGGCAGGCAGGCAGGCAGGCACGGCGGUGUCAGCCGCUGUGGAGGUGGCACGGAUGGUGCUAACGUCCACCGCCAUGUUACCUAGACCAUGUUUCUAACCUUUCGGCAACAGCAGCACUUGACAAAUUAUAAUUUACAGUCAUGCAGAUUUUGAGUUUUCCACUCUGAGCACAUCAUUGAGAAUCUGUGUAUGCAUGCAGGAGACCAUCACCCCUGAUUAAAAAAACAUGUCAUUUGAAGAGCAGAAUUUAUCUUUCAAGUCAUUCAGGUAAAUGUCUGAGCCAACAGCUGUCUGAAACUGUUAGAAAAGCUGCAUGCAAGUGAAAUACGCUACAUGAUAAGUACAACAGAUGGUGGGAAAUUAAUGUAUUUUUUCUGAAAUAUUUAUUUUUUUUAAAAAGGGCUUUCUGUCAGUUUUAAUAAUUAAAAUACAUGACAGAGGCAGAAAUGGAGAAGGUACCUGAUAUUUCUGGAGGGCUCCUAAGAAGUUUUGUGCUGGGGAGAGACGUGUACGAUGGGCUCAUGGUGUUGUCAUUUAUACAUAUGUUUAUUUGGUUUAUUGUUUAUUGUCUAUUUUGUUACUAUUUUGUUGUAUGGUUGAAUAUUUUAGUUACCCUGUCAUUUUUAUCUUGAUUUUUGUCGAGAAAAGAUGACACGGUGAUGUUUUGGGGAUAUGUUCAUGUUGCAAAUUGUAUGUUUUGUGUGUUCUGUUAAAGUCAAAUAAAAAUUGUUAAUCAUAAAAAUGCAUGACAGAGGGAAACUCUAGCAAUGUACAGACCUUUUUAAAAACAAUGUGUUUAAUAUGUAACUGAGCACCCGGGUUCAAUAGUGGGAAAUCCCUGACAAGGCUGCUGUCUCUUGCUCACUGCUAUCCCCAGUGGAGUCAAACACAGUAUUAGUGCCUGAGGUGAACAGCUCCUGAAUGUAUGUUACAGUAUGUUAGCUGGGGCUGUGGUCCACAUCUAAAAUAGUGGAUCAUUUCUCUACUCAGGCAUGCUUUCGAGGCACUCACUGUAACACCAUGUUUAGCAAGUAUGGACAAUUUGAUACUGAAGGUGACAUUUAUUCAGCAUUGUAGCAAAUAUUUAAUUGUUCCUGCAGAGAGCGAGAUAUGUUUCCCCUUGCCUACAGUGCUGGGAUUGUCCUUUGGAAUAUGAUGCAAAUUUGGGAUGAAGCAACUAAUUCCUUCCUUGCACCCCCUGUACCGCCCCCUCCCUCAAUCCUCCGCCAGCCUCCAUCCUCCUCAGACACGAGGAUUCUGAUUAAUCGUGUGACCGCCCCUCGUUUUGCAUUUUUUACACAAUCUCACGGCGCCACGGUGAGAUGUGUGAGGUGUUUUGCCACUUUUGGCAAGCUGAAAAGAUGUAGCCCAAGGAAGAACAAGUCGAAAGUAUGAGGGGGAAAAGAAAAUAUGACCAGGGGACGUGAUAAAAAAUUAUCAGCCAGUGUGUUUUCCUGUUUGGUUUUAAUCUACAUUUAAUUAAAUUCUUAUCUGCUGUGUGCUUAUGGCUGCAUUUGAAUGGCGAGGCUGCAUUCAUUAUGAAUGGUAAAAUUGAACUCAGUGCAUUGUGUGUGGCCCAAUAAAGAAACAAGAAUCUUAUUGCAGUGCAUGCACAAGCUCCGACAGACAUGCGGAAAAAAUAAGUCAAUUAAGAUCGGUCUUUAAAUUACCGCUGUAUCAAAACAAGGGGCGGGAGCAUGCUCCAUAAUAGAAUCCUGACAGGGGAAGGAGCACAGUUGACUCUUGUUAAUAUACAUCCCAUUUGAUACAGCCAAUUGUAUUUGCCUGUUUAUGGAAUGCACAUAGUUGAUGCACACUAGAUUUACUAGUGUGUCAUGAUAGUUCAUAAUCGACAGUGCUGGAAAAAAAAAAAAUGGUUGACUUCAAUGAAUGUAGAGGUCAAAUGAAAACUGCAGUUGCACUGCAGCUGUAAAAUAAGAGUUCCUCAUAAAGAUUCAGCUGGUUUAUCACAACGUUAGACGUCAACAGCAAAGGUCAAUGACAGAGUAUGUAGACAAUAUGUGGGCAGAUACUGAAGUAGGGCUGCACGAUAUGAGGAGAAUAUGCGAUAUGUGAUAAUGUGGAAUAUCACGAUAGCGAUAUUACUAGCGAUAAAUGAUAACAGAUAUGAACGUAUCCUCAGUUCUGCAUUUACGCUGCUUUUAUGAUUCUGCUAAAAUGCAACAGAUGGCUUGUUGGAUUUAAAACAAAUGAAAGGAAAUCAUUUCCAACAUUCUUUUACUGAACAAAUUGAACAUUGGAUUGAAUAUAAAAGGCACCACUAAAGAAAGAAUGUUACAUUUUAAAGUGCACUUUCCUACUGCUAUUUUCUUGUCUUUCGCGAUACGCCGCAGCCUUGUGCGAUUUGUUUACUGCGGCGGUUGAUAUCGCGAUGACGAUAA
This is a long non-coding RNA of Sander lucioperca (pikeperch), 8450 nucleotides long. RefSeq lists it as uncharacterized. The transcript has 2 exons. NCBI's taxonomy places the organism in Eukaryota, Metazoa, Chordata, Actinopteri, Perciformes, Percidae. The record is from RefSeq and is a predicted model, not a curated record.